Molecule: non-coding RNA, 526 nt
Organism: Capra hircus (goat)
Lineage: Eukaryota; Metazoa; Chordata; Mammalia; Artiodactyla; Bovidae
Source: the annotation of a RefSeq genome assembly
CUCUCAUCCACACUCAGCCCAGAGGGCCUCCACCUGCCCCACCCCCACCAUGAGCCCCUGCCUCCUGGGCUGUGUGGUCUUCUGUCUCCUGCAGGCAGGGGUGGUCCAUGCUGGUGUCACUCAGGACCCCAGAUUCCAGGUCGUGAGGACAGGGCAGAGGGUGACACUGAGAUGCACUCAGGAUCUGAGCCACGAUUAUAUGUACUGGUACCGACUAGACCUGGGACACGGGCUGAGGCUGAUCCAUUACUCAGCUGCUGCUCCCAACACGGAGAAAGGAGACGUGCCCAAGGGCUACAGCAUCUCCAGACCAAGCACAGAGGACUUCCCUCUCACGCUGGAGUCUGCCAACCGCUCCCAGACAUCUGUGUACUUCUGCGCCAGCAGUUACUCCACGGCGCUGCACGGCCACCUCCUUUCUGUGCAAAAAGCAGAUGAGAGCCCUGUAAUCUGGAACUUGGAGAGCCCCUUGCAGGCUCCUAGCACCUGCAGACUUGGAGCCCACAGACACAUACUGGCAGCAUAG